CAGCCGCCACGGUAAUACGUAGGGUGCAAGCGUUAAUCGGAAUUACUGGGCGUAAAGCGUGCGCAGGCGGUCCGCUAAGACAGAUGUGAAAUCCCCGGGCUUAACCUGGGAACUGCAUUUGUGACUGGCGGGCUAGAGUACGGUAGAGGGGGAUGGAAUUCCGCGUGUAGCAGUGAAAUGCGUAGAUAUGCGGAGGAACACCGAUGGCGAAGACAAUCCCCUGGACCUGUACUGACGCUCAUGCACGAAAGCGUGGGGAGCAAACAGGAUUAGAUACCCCUGUAGUCCCUGUCUCUUAUAC
Molecule: ribosomal RNA, 301 nt
Filed under: uncultured bacterium
Lineage: Bacteria
Description: partial 16S ribosomal RNA
Rfam family: Bacterial small subunit ribosomal RNA
Source: RNAcentral